GAUGAACGCUGGCGGCGUGCCUAAUACAUGCAAGUCGAGCGAACAGACGAGGAGCUUGCUCCUCUGACGUUAGCGGCGGACGGGUGAGUAACACGUGGAUAACCUACCUAUAAGACUGGGAUAACUUCGGGAAACCGGAGCUAAUACCGGAUAAUAUUUCGAACCGCAUGGUUCAAUAGUGAAAGAUGGCUUUGCUGUCACUUAUAGAUGGACCCGCGCCGCAUUAGCUAGUUGGUAAGGUAACGGCUUACCAAGGCAACGAUGCGUAGCCGACCUGAGAGGGUGAUCGGCCACACUGGAACUGAGACACGGUCCAGACUCCUACGGGAGGCAGCAGUAGGGAAUCUUCCGCAAUGGGCGAAAGCCUGACGGAGCAACGCCGCGUGAGUGAUGAAGGUCUUCGGAUCGUAAAACUCUGUUAUUAGGGAAGAACAAAUGUGUAAGUAACUAUGCACGUCUUGACGGUACCUAAUCAGAAAGCCACGGCUAACUACGUG
This 497-nucleotide ribosomal RNA is filed under the name uncultured bacterium. RNAcentral describes it as "partial 16S ribosomal RNA". It matches the Rfam family "Bacterial small subunit ribosomal RNA", at positions 28 to 507 of the family's 1533-position model. The record is from RNAcentral.